Molecule: ribosomal RNA, 507 nt
Filed under: uncultured bacterium
Lineage: Bacteria
Description: partial 16S ribosomal RNA
Source: RNAcentral
GGAGUUAGCCGGUGCUUCUUCUGUGAGUGAUGUCCUUCCUGCCGGCUAUUAACCCGCAGGCCUUCUUCCUCACUGAAAGUGCUUUACAACCCGAAGGCCUUCUUCACACACGCGGCAUGGCUGGAUCAGGGUUGCCCCCAUUGUCCAAUAUUCCCCACUGCUGCCUCCCGUAGGAGUCUGGGCCGUGUCUCAGUCCCAGUGUGGCUGAUCAUCCUCUCAGACCAGCUACGUAUCGUCGCCUUGGUGAGCCGUUACCUCACCAACCAGCUAAUCCGACAUAGGCUCAUCCGAUAGCGCGAGGCCCGAAGGUCCCCCGCUUUCCCCCGUAGGGCGUAUGCGGUAUUAGCCUGGGUUUCCCCAGGUUAUCCCCCACUACCGGGCAGAUUCCUAUGCAUUACUCACCCGUCCGCCGCUCGCCACCAGGGAGCAAGCUCCCCGUGCUGCCGCUCGACUUGCAUGUGUUAGGCCUGCCGCCAGCGUUCAAUCUGAGCCAGGAUCAAACUCUGA